AUUGAACGCUGGCGGCAUGCCUAACACAUGCAAGUCGAACGGCAGCACGGUGUGUAGCAAUACACAUGGGUGGCGAGUGGCGGACGGGUGAGUAUAAAGUAGGAAUCUGCCUUAUAGAUUGGGACAACUUGGGGAAACUCGAGCUAAUACCGGAUAAGCACUACGGUGGAAAGUAUGGGACCGAAAGGCCAUACGCUAUAAGAUGAGCCUACGUCGGAUUAGUUAGUUGGUUAGGUAAAGGCUGACCAAGACGAAGAUCCGUAGCUGGUCUGAGAGAAUGAUCAGCAACACGGGGACUGGGACACGGCCCAGAGUCCGACGGGAGGCAGCAGUGGGGAAUAUUGGACAAUGGGGGAAACCCUGAUCCAGCGAUGCCGCGUGUGCGAAGAAGGCCUGCGGGUUGUAAAGCACUUUAGUUGGGGAAGAAAGUUCAUGAUUCGAAUAGGGUUGUGAGUUGACGUUACCCAAAGAAUAAGCACCGGCUAACUCUGUGCCAGCCGCCGCGGUAA
This 509-nucleotide ribosomal RNA is filed under the name uncultured bacterium. RNAcentral describes it as "partial 16S ribosomal RNA". It matches the Rfam family "Bacterial small subunit ribosomal RNA", at positions 30 to 523 of the family's 1533-position model. The record is from RNAcentral.